Molecule: transfer RNA, 72 nt
Filed under: Loxodonta africana (African savanna elephant)
Lineage: Eukaryota; Metazoa; Chordata; Mammalia; Proboscidea; Elephantidae
Rfam family: tRNA
About the family: Transfer RNA (tRNA) molecules are approximately 80 nucleotides in length. Their secondary structure includes four short double-helical elements and three loops (D, anti-codon, and T loops).
Source: Rfam by way of RNAcentral
CCCUGGGUGGUAUAAAUGAUUAAUGCACUUGGCUGCUAACCAAAAGUUUGGAAGUUCAAGUCUACCCAGGGC